AGGUUCGUCAUGCUGACGAUGAAAAGGGAAUAGGGUGGAAAUCCCUGACAGUCCCGCUGCGGUGAGUCCAUGCAAUCUGCGUAGCAUAUUUACCACUGAGUGCAAAGGCGUCCUGAAAAGCGCUUUUGAACAAUACUUGGGAAGGUUUUGUUGCGGAGAGGAUAAGUCCGAAGACCUGCCUUUGCUGA
Molecule: non-coding RNA, 188 nt
Filed under: bovine gut metagenome
Source: RNAcentral